GAGAGAGAGAGGGGCUUGCCGGCGUUCUGUCCGCCGGUCGAGCCGUUAUAGUGUCAUUAGGGCAGAAAAUCAGGAUCUGCCUCCUAAUCGCCUGCCCUUCGAGUCCGAUUAUUUCGCCACCCGGAGGUGGACCCGCGGACAUUGGUACUCGUGUGAGCUGCAGCCUUGGCGCCGAUCUCGGAGAAGAUAGUAAGCGUCAUGUCGCAGUGUGCUGCCGAUCCCGGCGUUGCCCUAGGAGGUGGACUCGGCGAUAGCGCUUUUCGCGGGCAUUUGACGGCUGGAGGUUUUUUGUUCUACGGCGCCGUGUCGCAGUGUGCCGUCGAUCCCGGCGUUGAUCUGAGCAUUCAUCCGCCUUUUUAUGCCGCCGCCGCCGCUAACGGCGAUGAUGAUGCUGAUAUAACAAGGGCAUCACUGCGAGCUACUUUUCCAAGAUAUUCGCAGUUGUGAGCGAUUCGAGUGCCGAUCCGCCGCCCGCGCAAGCAAACCGACGGGAUGCGGGUGGCCGGAGCUCGUCGCAAAUUACGUUUUGCGGCCGAUUCGAGAGACGACAAGCCGGCCCAAGCCCCUGGCGCUGCAGCCCGAGGUUAAAGACACCGCGGCGAGCCGAGUCGCCGAGAGAAGCCCCGCCCGGCGCUGCUCAUUCAAAUCAUCCGAAUGCUCGACGCGCGGCCGCGGGAAUAAUGAAAAGACCGCCCGAGUCACGUUGAAGUGAUUUAAGUAGCUGCAGCACACAUCCAGCGCGAGGCACGAAAGUCGGAGGUGAUAUACUGCAAUCGGGAGAACAAGUGAAAAGAGACAAUACAGUGAUUAGUGCGCGAUUAGUGAAACAACGUCGGCCAGCAGCUUCGAGCGUCGAAGGAAUUGUCGUCUGCGCUGUCGUCGCUGCCGAUGACGCUUCGAAUGUCGGGCAUCGCGGAGAGAAGGAGAAAAACAAUGGGCCGCAGUCUGUAUGACGCGCGGAACGAGGGCCGCGCAGACGCCACCUAAGUAUUUCUGAUCAGAUUCCGAGUGGCGCUCGCCCGCGCCGCUCAUCCUCGGGAAUUCGAGCGCUCCGACAGAGCGAGAAAAAAGGAGCGCGACCGGGGAAACUGCAGUGUGCAGGUACUCUCGCCGGAGCUCCACUUGUUUUUGUUCAACUGGCCAUCGCGGAUGAUUUUAAUCUUUGUUGGGAGAAAUUUAUAUGCCCUUUUUACGGGCAUCGUGGUCGCGGGCUCCAGCUCAUGCGGCGGCAAUCGAUAUUAACGUCAAUUUCGGAGCUAUGUAUAAUUAAUGGUUGCACUCAAUUUUUUUUUUCACCCCAACCAUCGUCAACGUUCUAAUCGAGAACGCAACUCCUCGAACCGGCAUUCGUAAAGUAAUUUAUUAUUUUCGCAAACGAUUCGCUAUCCUGUCAACGAUCGUAAAAUUUUAUCGAUGAUGCACAUACCGAUGUGAUUCCCGUUUCAAAAGGUUACGAAGUCGCGCUUUCGAUCUCUUCUUUCUUUAUAUCUUGUCGAUAAGACCGAUUCAGUACUGCUGUAAUCUGACCAUAA
Long non-coding RNA from Nasonia vitripennis (jewel wasp), 1532 nucleotides. RefSeq lists it as uncharacterized. NCBI's taxonomy places the organism in Eukaryota, Metazoa, Arthropoda, Insecta, Hymenoptera, Pteromalidae. The record is from RefSeq and is a predicted model, not a curated record. The transcript has 8 exons.